GAAAUGCGAUAAGUAGUGUGAAUUGCAGAAUUCAGUGAAUCAUCGAAUCUUUGAACGCACAUUGCGCCCUUUGGUAUUCCUUAGGGCAUGCCUGUUCGAGCGUCAUUUAACCCCUCAAGCUCAGCUUGGUGUUGGGCGUCCUUGUCCCUGGCCCCCCCCUGGGGCGGCGGGGACUCGCCUCAAAUCGAUUGGCGGCCGGUACGUUGGCUUCGAGCGCAGCAGAAACGCGAACUCGGGGCCCAGCGCGCCGGCUCCCACAAGCCACAUCUAUUUUUUGACCUCGGAUCAGGUAGGGAUACCCGCUGAACUUAA
RNAcentral lists this unclassified non-coding RNA (312 nucleotides) under uncultured fungus. Its description in RNAcentral is "sequence contains ITS1". The stretch from base 1 to 105 matches the Rfam family "5.8S ribosomal RNA", at positions 50 to 154 of the family's 154-position model. The record is from RNAcentral. Lineage: Eukaryota; Fungi.